Molecule: ribosomal RNA, 761 nt
Filed under: uncultured sediment archaeon
Lineage: Archaea
Description: bacterial SSU rRNA
Rfam family: Archaeal small subunit ribosomal RNA
Source: RNAcentral
UUCCGGUUGAUCCUGCCGGACCUGACUGCUAUCGGAUUGAUACUAAGCCAUGCGAGUCAUUGUAGCAAUACAAGGCAGACGGCUCAGUAACGCGUAGUCAACCUACCCUAUGGACGGGGAUAACCUCGGGAAACUGAGAAUAAUACCAGAUAGAACAUUAUGCCUGGAAUGGUUUAUGUUUCAAAUAAUUUAUUGCCGUAGGAUGGGACUGCGGCCUAUCAGUUUGUUGGUGAGGUAAUGGCCCACCAAGACUAUUACAGGUACGGGCUCUGAGAGGAGUAGCCCGGAGAUGGGUACUGAGACACGGACCCAGGCCCUAUGGGGCGCAGCAGGCGAGAAAACUUUGCAAUGUGCGAAAGCACGACAAGGUUAAUCCGAGUGAUUUCUGCUAAAGGAAUCUUUUGUCAGUCCUAGAAACACUGUUGAAUAAGGGGUGGGCAAGUUCUGGUGUCAGCCGCCGCGGUAAAACCAGCACCUCAAGUGGUCAGGAUGAUUAUUGGGCCUAAAGCAUCCGUAGCCUGCUUUGUCAGUUUUCGGUUAAAUCCAUACGCUCAACGUAUGGGCUGCCGGAAAUACUGCAAAGCUAGGGAGUGGGAGAGGUAGACGGUACUCGGGAGGAAGGGGUAAAAUCCUUUGAUCUCUCGAUGACCACCUGUGGCGAAGGCGGUCUACCAGAACACGUCCGACGGUGAGGGAUGAAAGCUGGGGGAGCAAACCGGAUUAGAUACCCGGGUAGUCCCAGCUGUAAACUAUGCAAACUC